CAUGAAGUCGGAAUUGCUGUAAUCGCGGAUCAGCAUGCCGCGGUGAAUACGUUCCCGGGCCUUGUACACACCGCCCGUCACACCAUGGGAGCCGGUAAUACCCGAAGUCAGUAGUCCAACCUCGUGAGGACGCUGCCGAAGGUAGGAUUGGCGACUGGGGUGAAGUCGUAACAAGGUAGC
This 180-nucleotide ribosomal RNA is filed under the name uncultured bacterium. RNAcentral's name for it is "partial 16S ribosomal RNA". It matches the Rfam family "Bacterial small subunit ribosomal RNA", at positions 1319 to 1500 of the family's 1533-position model. The record is from RNAcentral.